UGAGUGACUAUAUCUGACAGUCCUAAAUUUGUAGAACUAAACUGAGUUCUAUUCUGAGAUUGGGACUGAAACUGAGACUAUGGUAGGUAAUAAUCUCACUGACACGCCCUUUUCUGAAUAGAUUGCGGUACAACCUAUAACCCCAGUUAGAAGGGUGUAAUUAUCGUGCCAUGGGUAAAGACAUGCUAUGAGUUAACCCUCUUUGAAAGGAAGCUCUUUUAUCAACCCUCG
Molecule: long non-coding RNA, 231 nt
Filed under: Capsicum annuum
Lineage: Eukaryota; Viridiplantae; Streptophyta; Magnoliopsida; Solanales; Solanaceae
Description: long non-coding RNA (CANN_LNC004631)
Source: RNAcentral